GGCAGUUUGGCCGAGUUGGUCUAAGGCGUGGCGUUAAGGAAUUAUCCUUGAGUAUCUUUAAUCCGCCAUCUAUUUCGUAGGCGUGAGUUCGAAUCUCACAGCUGUCA
RNAcentral lists this transfer RNA (107 nucleotides) under Dothideomycetidae sp. 11243. Its description in RNAcentral is "fungal sp. No.11243 tRNA". It matches the Rfam family "tRNA". Rfam says of the family: Transfer RNA (tRNA) molecules are approximately 80 nucleotides in length. Lineage: Eukaryota; Fungi; Ascomycota; Dothideomycetes. The record is from Rfam by way of RNAcentral.